RNAcentral lists this ribosomal RNA (253 nucleotides) under uncultured bacterium. Its description in RNAcentral is "partial 16S ribosomal RNA". It matches the Rfam family "Bacterial small subunit ribosomal RNA", at positions 524 to 776 of the family's 1533-position model. The record is from RNAcentral.
UACGAAGGGGGCUAGCGUUGUUCGGAAUUACUGGGCGUAAAGCGAACGUAGGCGGUGUUCCAUGUCAGAGGUGAAAGCCUGGGGCUCAACUCCAGAAUUGCCUUUGAAACGGGGACGCUUGAGUCCGAGAGAGGGUGGCGGAAUUCCUAGUGUAGAGGUGAAAUUCGUAGAUAUUAGGAAGAACACCAGUGGCGAAGGCGGCCACCUGGUUCGGUACUGACGCUCAGGUUCGAAAGCGUGGGGAGCAAACAGG